AACGAACGCUGGCGGCAUGCCUAACACAUGCAAGUCGAACGAGCCCUUCGGGGCUAGUGGCGCACGGGUGCGUAACGCGUGGGAAUCUGCCCAAAGGUUCGGAAUAACUCGGGGAAACCCGUGCUAAUACCGGAUAAUGUCUUCGGACCAAAGAUUUAUCGCCUUUGGAUGAGCCCGUGUCGGAUUAGCUUGUUGGUGAGGUAAAAGCUCACCAAGGCGACGAUCCGUAGCUGGUCUGAGAGGAUGAUCAGCCACACUGGGACUGAGACUCGGCCCAGACUCCUACGGGAGGCAGCAGUGGGGAAUAUUGGACAAUGGGCGAAAGGCCUGAUCCAGCAAUGCCGCGUGAGUGAUGAAGGCCUUAGGGUUGUAAAGGCUCUUUUGCCCGGGAUGAUAAUGACAGUACCGGGAGAAUAAGCUCCGGCUAACUCCGUGCCAGCAGCCGCGGUAAUACGGAGGGAGCUAGCGUUGUUCGGAUUACUGGGCGUAAAGCGCGCGUA
RNAcentral lists this ribosomal RNA (500 nucleotides) under uncultured bacterium. Its description in RNAcentral is "bacterial SSU rRNA". It matches the Rfam family "Bacterial small subunit ribosomal RNA", at positions 28 to 573 of the family's 1533-position model. The record is from RNAcentral.